Molecule: transfer RNA, 83 nt
Filed under: Candidatus Daviesbacteria bacterium
Lineage: Bacteria; Candidatus Daviesiibacteriota
Description: tRNA-Tyr
Rfam family: tRNA
About the family: Transfer RNA (tRNA) molecules are approximately 80 nucleotides in length. Their secondary structure includes four short double-helical elements and three loops (D, anti-codon, and T loops).
Source: RNAcentral
CCAGAGGUACCCAAGUGGCCAACGGGGGCUGACUGUAAAUCAGCUGGCUUAUGCCUACGGAGGUUCGAAUCCUCCCCUCUGGA